This is a long non-coding RNA of Herpailurus yagouaroundi (jaguarundi), 1887 nucleotides long. RefSeq lists it as uncharacterized. The record is from RefSeq and is a predicted model, not a curated record. NCBI's taxonomy places the organism in Eukaryota, Metazoa, Chordata, Mammalia, Carnivora, Felidae. The transcript is spliced from 2 exons.
CACGGGAGGGAGAAGGGCGUGAAGUCCAGCGGCGCCAUUAUCGUUGAGGGCGAAGGCUUCAAGGCUCUGGUGCGGCGCACUGGGCUGUCUUCAGGGAAGUGAUGCGGCUGACCCAGGACUGCCUACCUGGGCGCGAUCGGAAAGUCCCAGCCCUCCCCUUGUCCCCGUUUUAGCGAAAAGAGAGAGCAAGAGUAAAGAAAAGAAGGGGGAAAUGGAGGUGAAGAAGCUUAAGGAGCCUGUGUGAGAGAGGCUGACUGGUUAGGCAGCAUGGCAGGAGUCCUUUGAAGAACCAGGGGCCCUGAACCAGGGGGUAUGGCCAGAUAUCACCUCAGGGCUCCUGAACUAUGGGACAACAGUGCUGUUUGGCUCCGAAGAAACCCUACCUGAGUCUUGGCUGUCCUCUUCCUCCUGGCCAGACACCAGCAGGCCUACUGUGCUGGCAGCCUUCCCUGUGACAAUGUGGAUGCUGCUCUCUCAGUGCAAGAACCUGCCCCACCAUCUGCCCGUCCACAGGUGAGACAGUCGUCUCCCCCCCCCCACCCCCCCUGCCGUGUGGCUGCUGCCUUUGAAAAAGUAGGGCCCUGGCCACCUACAGAAGGAAGAAGCUUUAUGCAAGUCUGGACUGUGGGCAGCUCUUUGCCACCCCCUCACUGUUAGACACGGACAGACCACUCCGGUGACUGUCCCCGUGUGAGUGGCUCCUGUGGUGUCCCCGUUUCCCGGAGGACUCACCUGAUCUAGCACCAGCUGCUCCACAUAGGGCACACCCGUGUCCUGACUGCACCCGCUGCCUCCACCCGGGGAAGCGCCCUGGGUGCCCAUAAGUGCAGACAUGUGGGCAGACUGGGGGUGCGACUUUGCAUACCCGCCUCCCGGCCAACCACCUGCUUAUGCACUUGAGUAAACACUGCCAUACCAUGGUCUAUAGUGUGGUACUCACUUUUGCUCACCAAAAAAAUUUGCUCCAGCACCAGCUUAUCCACACGGGAAAGAAGCCCUCUGGUGCUGUGGCUGUAAGGCGGUGUUCCUGCCACAGGCUCCUUUGACCAUUCACAGAUGCCCACGCACACCUGGGGAAACCUUCCUCCUGCCCAGAAUGUGGCAUCUGCUUCCUGCACUCCUCCCUGCUCAGCCACAGGCACAUCCACUCUCAUGAGAGGCCCUUUCCCUGCACUGAAUGUGGGAAAAGCUCCAAGAGGAAGCAUGCCCAGAAAGCCCACCAUGGAAUCCAUCAGGGAUACACGGAAGGGCCAAGGUGUGGGAGCCCUGAGCCAGCCUCCUCCCUUGGGGAUCAAGACCCUCAGUUCAUGUCCACUAUUGGAUACAUUCCAGGAGUGUGGGUGACUGGGGUCAAGUGCUGCGAAGGGGUUUAUGAUGGAAGACAUUGUUUCCUGUCAAGCGUUCACCACUCAGAGCGGGUGGAGGCAAGAGAGAAAGGAAAAAAGGGGGAGGUGUACAAAGUGACAAAGUCCAUAGGUGCCUUGGAGUCCUCCUUCAGAGAGCAGGAUAUAGAGGUAAUCGGAAAUGUACCAGCGAGUUACGUCACCCAGAAAUGGACAGGUUGGAACUGGACUGCAAGAAUCUGUUAAGGAACGGGAAGAUUCCAUCAUUACCCAUGACUUUGUCCCAGGACUAACACUGCUUGCUGGAGUCUGGGUUUAUGGCGCAAUGGCAUUUUAGGGAAAUAGAAGUUUGCACUGCCUGAUGCUUUCCUCUCACUGAGCAUGAAACAAGGAGAAAUGACGCUCAGAGCCUUUCACCCAGUUUAGAGCUGCCAGUGCAAGGCAGAGGACAUUCUCCAGCUUCAAAUCUCAUCCCCACCUUUACUAACAGGCAGUCUGCUCAACUGUCUGCUAACCAUCCUCAUAAAGGACUCUGGAAGGUGAA